Molecule: unclassified non-coding RNA, 1016 nt
Filed under: Hevea brasiliensis (rubber tree)
Lineage: Eukaryota; Viridiplantae; Streptophyta; Magnoliopsida; Malpighiales; Euphorbiaceae
Source: RNAcentral
GAACGAUGCAGACUUAAUGGCAUUGUGGAUUGUGGUGAACGACAUCAACACAUUUACAGAAGAACUAUGCUACUGGCAGAACAAGUUAAAGUCAGCAGGGGGAGCCCCCUUAUUACAUGUCUUCUGGAAGGCCCAAGUGGAAGUGGCAAGACUGCAAUGGCAGCAACCGUUGGAAUUGAAAGUGAUUUUCCCUAUGUCAAGAUAAUUUCUGCUGAAACUAUGAUUGGGCUCAGCGAAAGCAGCAAAUGUUCUCAGAUAGUCAAGGUAUUUGAGGAUGCAUACAAGUCACCACUUAGUAUAGUGGUCCUUGAUGGGAUUGAAAGACUUCUGGAAUAUGUUCCAAUUGGCCCUCGAUUUUCAAAUUUGAUUUCUCAAACGCUUAUGGUGCUUCUUAAACGGCUUCCUCCUAAGGGUAAAAAGAUUCUUGUGAUUGGAACUACUAGUGAAUCCGGUUUCUUGGAGUCAGUUGGCCUUUCUGAUGCCUUCUCAGUCACAUACCAUGUUCCAACACUGAAGACAGAAGAUGCCAAGAAGGUGUUGCAACAACUUGAUGUCUUUGCAAGCGAUGACGUUGAUUCUGCUGCUGAGGCCUUAAAUGAUAUGCCCAUCAAGAAACUCUACAUGGUUGUUGAAAUGGCUGCACAGGGUGAACACGGUGGGACAGCAGAAGCCAUCUAUUCUGGCAAAGAAAAGAUUAAUAUCGCACAUUUCUAUGAUUGCCUUCAAGAUAUUGUUCGAUAUUGAGUGUGUGGUCUCGAGUAAUUUAGGUAGGAACCAUGGUUUUCCUGUGAGUCCUUUACACCUUACCGUUGAUUGCUGAUUUGCACACACCCCGUUGAUGGGGUUCUUCUAUUCAUGAGUUAUUCAGAGGUUUUUAUUGGCGAUUCACGCAAGAUGUGUUAGAGCUCAUUCGUGAACUUCAUUUGCUUUCUAGUUUUUGGUACUUCCUUUUCUAUUCGUUUUGUUGUGCCAGCGUAUUGUAAGUAAUCUCUGUUCAGUUGAACUUUGCACCUAAU